ACCCAUAGAGAUUAAUAGUAAUAGAAAGGAAAUAGUAAAGUAAUUAGAAGAAAAACGCUACUCUUCGUGAGUGGGAAAUGUAUAAUUGUACCCAAAUUGUAGAAAAUGUCAGUAGAUAGGCUACGCAUGAAAAACAACACUUGCAUGUGCAGACAUGCUGGACACACAGAUCCUUUUCAGGGUUCACGCCGCACUUUCCAUUCGCUCUCAGCCCUGUGAUGAAGUUCUGCUCUUCCCUCACACCUUCUCAUCCUGUGGAUGGAAUAAGAUGCUUUCAAACGACGAUGCCCCGUGCAUCUCCAGCAAACAAGUGGUGGAAGGAUUUCGUGGAUGUGAUUUCUAAUCGAGGAUGCUCGUUUAUCCGUUUCACAUCCAGAUGAGCGGUUUUUCGAUGCCAUGAGGAGUCCAAGGAGAAUAGGCAGCUGGAGCUCGGAGUCGCCCGCAGGAGGAAGCGGAGGCAGCGCUGCCUCAUGAGGCUGAUGCAACAUGAGGGAUGGAAGACAAAUGAAGGAUGCUACAGGAAUCAUGGGAGAGAUGAGAUCUAGAUUCUUUCAGAUCACAAACAUCAAUCAGAGAAGAAGAUGCUUCAAUCAAAUGGUAAAAAAUAUCAUCUAAAUAAAAAAAUGUUUUUAUGUCAUAUGUAUAAAAUGAAAAAAAAAAAUAUUUGAUCCAAAUUAAUUAAUAUAUAUAUCUAUAUAUAUAUAUAUAUAUAUAGAUAUAGAUAUAGAUAUAGAUAUAUAUCUAUAUCUAUAUAUCUAUCUAUAUAUCUAUAUAUAUAUCUAUAUAUAGCCUAUAUAUUUAUCAAUAUUUUAGAAAUUUUACAAAUGUAAGGUUUGAAAACAUUGGAAACAUAUUUAUAACACAAUGCAUAUUGUUUUUUUUUAAAUAUGUAUAUGCAUUUAUAUUUUCAUGAUGAUAUAUAAAGAUUAACACAUUUUUAAAUAAACAAUUAUAUUUGAUCAAAAUAUGUCAAGUUUCUUUCUUCAUGCCACUGUCUCAAUCUAUCAACUCAAUGCUCCAAAUAUCACAGAUCAUAAAAGCAUGUCAGUUUGCAUGAAUGAGUGAUAUGAGUGUAGCCCUCAUAACUCCAUACACACAAUAUGUAACAAAACCCAUUGAAGCAAAAGGCUUUAGUUUCCAUGAUUAGUGGGUAAACUUGUGUUUUGCUACUUUGUUUUGCUAAUCAUAUUCAGGUUAUUUAGCGGGAGUGGCAUUCUUAUUCUAGAGAGUGUUUGAUUGGACAAAAAUGUGCAUAUAUUUAUUCCAUUCACCCCCCCCCCCCACACACACACACACAGAAGAUAACAGUUUUAAAUGUAUGUGGUAAAUGUAUUGUAACUCUUUAAGCUUUAAAUAAAAAUGUAUUACAAAUUGUGCAGCAAAUAAUAUAAUCGUUUACAUAAACUUUUAGAAACAUGACUGUGUUAUGGUAGACUAUUCAAAUUAUUGUCAUUAAAAUGAAAAGGGAUACCUAGAUAAUUAACACGGGGUUAUAAAUGAUUAGUCAGUAUCAGCAUCAUUAAGUUGAGGGCUCUAGUGUCCGGUCAGUCCUCAUGUUAACAGCCUCCUCUCAUCUUCUCAGGAGGCCCUUGUUAGACGAGUUGCUGCUAAAAUGAAUUAACGUGAUUCACAAUCUACUCCACAGCCUGCAGCUGAAGAGAACCAUCAUGUCUCUUCAUAAAGACUCUGUCUGUCCAAUCAGUGUUUCUGAAUGCAGUCUUAUAUUUGCUCUCAUUACAAGCCGAUUAUGAUCAAAUAACCAGCAGAAGUUAACAACGCUCUUCCAGUAAUUAGCUUACUUCUCUUAUAAAUGGAGAAGCCAGCGGUGAGCAGCACAUUAGCUGUCUCUGGAGCAAUGUGUGCAUGUUUUGUCUUUGUGUAUUACUGAAAUAAUUAUGUUUUUGAAUCUGUUUAUCUGCCUAAAUGUUCUAAAGUGGAACAUAUUCGUUGUAUUUCAGGAAAAGUCCAAACGUAAUAGCUUAUUUCAGCUUGGUGUAAAAUCUGACUAUGAACUGUACAAAUGUUAGCCGUUAAUAUUUAUGCUAAUAUGUGGGCUAUUUAAUGCAUCAUGAAACCCCCUCUAUAUUGAUACUGAACAAUCACGCCUCAGGUUUAGAAAAGGGCUCAAUACAUUUUUCCAAAUUAUCAUUUUCAUGCCCUACCCAUUACCCAGCAUGCAUUGCAAAGUUGGGGGCAUGUUUACAGAUAAAUCUUACAUGUUUGUAUGAGUGUUGUGUCUUACAAAUCAAUUUCGCCAUGUUUUGUAAUUAUGCCACAUUAAUGGGUGACUGACAGCAAUAAUUUUUGUCAUAUAUUAUGUUAUUAUAUUAUUAUAUCUUGAAUGAUCAACAUAUAGUCAAUAUAGGUUUAAAAAUAUCAAUAAAAAUGUGAUAAUGUCAA
Long non-coding RNA from Carassius gibelio (silver crucian carp), 2400 nucleotides. RefSeq lists it as uncharacterized. The transcript has 4 exons. Lineage: Eukaryota; Metazoa; Chordata; Actinopteri; Cypriniformes; Cyprinidae. The record is from RefSeq and is a predicted model, not a curated record.